AUUGAACGCUGGCGGCAGGCCUAACACAUGCAAGUCGAACGGUAACAGGGAUCAGCUUGCUGAUUCGCUGACGAGUGGCGGACGGGUGAGUAAUGUCUGGGAAACUGCCUGAUGGAGGGGGAUAACUACUGGAAACGGUAGCUAAUACCGCAUAACGUCGCAAGACCAAAGAGGGGGACCUUCUGGCCUCUUGCCAUCGGAUGUGCCCAGAUGGGAUUAGCUAGUAGGUGGGGUAACGGCUCACCUAGGCGACGAUCCCUAGCUGGUCUGAGAGGAUGACCAGCCACACUGGAACUGAGACACGGUCCAGACUCCUACGGGAGGCAGCAGUGGGGAAUAUUGCACAAUGGGCGCAAGCCUGAUGCAGCCAUGCCGCGUGUAUGAAGAAGGCCUUCGGGUUGUAAAGUACUUUCAGCGGGGAGGAAGGGAGUAAAGUUAAUACCUUUGCUCAUUGACGUUACCCGCAGAAGAAGCACCGGCUAACUCCGUG
This 490-nucleotide ribosomal RNA is filed under the name uncultured bacterium. RNAcentral describes it as "partial 16S ribosomal RNA". It matches the Rfam family "Bacterial small subunit ribosomal RNA", at positions 30 to 507 of the family's 1533-position model. The record is from RNAcentral.